This 253-nucleotide ribosomal RNA is filed under the name uncultured bacterium. RNAcentral describes it as "partial 16S ribosomal RNA". It matches the Rfam family "Bacterial small subunit ribosomal RNA", at positions 524 to 776 of the family's 1533-position model. The record is from RNAcentral.
UACGGAGGGUGCAAGCGUUGUCCGGAUUUAUUGGGUUUAAAGGGUGCGUAGGCGGCCCUGUAAGUCAGUGGUGAAAUUCUUGAGCUUAACUGAAGGAUUGCCAUUGAUACUGUAGGGCUUGAGUACAGAUGAGGUAGGCGGAAUUGAUGGUGUAGCGGUGAAAUGCAUAGAUACCAUCAAGAACACCGAUUGCGAAGGCAGCUUACUAAGCUGUAACUGACGCUGAUGCGCGAAAGCCAGGGGAGCAAACGGG